CGGACGGGUGAGUAAUGCCUAGGAAUCUGCCUGGUAGUGGGGGACAACGUUUCGAAAGGAACGCUAAUACCGCACACGUCCUACGGGAGAAAGCAGGGGACCUUCGGGCCUUGCGCUAUCAGAUGAGCCUAGGUCGGAUUAGCUAGUUGGUGAGGUAAUGGCUCACCAAGGCGACGAUCCGUAACUGGUCUGAGAGGAUGAUCAGUCACACUGGAACUGAGACACGGUCCAGACUCCUACGGGAGGCAGCAGCC
Molecule: ribosomal RNA, 254 nt
Filed under: uncultured Pseudomonas sp.
Lineage: Bacteria; Pseudomonadati; Pseudomonadota; Gammaproteobacteria; Pseudomonadales; Pseudomonadaceae
Description: partial 16S ribosomal RNA
Rfam family: Bacterial small subunit ribosomal RNA
Source: RNAcentral